Molecule: ribosomal RNA, 287 nt
Filed under: uncultured Lachnospiraceae bacterium
Lineage: Bacteria; Bacillati; Bacillota; Clostridia; Lachnospirales; Lachnospiraceae
Description: partial 16S ribosomal RNA
Rfam family: Bacterial small subunit ribosomal RNA (bases 49-287)
Source: RNAcentral
CACUUUAUUUGAUUUCCUUCGGGACUGAUUAUUUUGUGACUGAGUGGCGGACGGGUGAGUAACGCGUGGGUAACCUGCCUUGUACAGGGGGAUAACAGUUGGAAACGGCUGCUAAUACCGCAUAAGACCACGGAGCCGCAUGGCUCCGUGGGAAAAACUCCGGUGGUAUGAGAUGGACCCGCGUCUGAUUAGGUAGUUGGUGGGGUAACGGCCCACCAAGGCGACGAUCAGUAGCCGGUCUGAGAGGAUGAACGGCCACACUGGAACUGAGACACGGUCCAGACUCC